AUACGUAGGGGGCGAGCGUUGCCCGGAAUGAUUGGGCGUAAAGGGCGCGUAGGCGGCCCGGUAAGUCUGGAGUGAAAGUCCUGUUUUUAAGAUGGGAAUUGCUUUGGAUACUGUCGGGCUUGGGUGCAGGAGAGGUAAGUGGAAUUCCCAGGGUAGCGGUGAAAUGCGUAGAGAUUGGGAGGAACACCAGUGGCGAAGGCGACUUACUGGACUGUAACUGACGCUGAGGCGCGAAAGUGUGGGGAGCAAACAGGAUUAGAUACCCUGGUAGUCCACACUGUAAACGAUGAAUGCUAGGUGUAGGGGGUAUCGACCCCUUCUGUGCCGCAGUCAACACAAUAAGCAUUCCGCCUGGGGAGUACGGCCGCAAGGUUGAAACUCAAAUGAAUUGACGGG
This 396-nucleotide ribosomal RNA is filed under the name uncultured bacterium. RNAcentral describes it as "partial 16S ribosomal RNA". It matches the Rfam family "Bacterial small subunit ribosomal RNA", at positions 523 to 917 of the family's 1533-position model. The record is from RNAcentral.